AAUGGUUUUCAUUUUUUAAUUGUUUCAGAUGCUGUGUGACUUUUCUCUGUGCAGCAAUUCCCAUCCUCCUCACACCAGUUGUGGCAGGAGACACCAACAGUUUGGAGCAGAGAAGCACUUCGGAGGGGAAGUGAACUUGGCUAUGCUGAUACACAGAAGACAGAGCAGCAGAGGAGGAAUGGCUUGCCUGGAAACACGUGCACUCAGCGUACUGGCAAACUGAGUCAAACUCAACAUGCGUUUGAGAAGUGUCCUGUUUCAUACCUUGGAAGCUGCCACAGCAGAACCUCACGGGGGGUAAUGCAGGAGAACAGAGAUUUUUGUGUAUAGCAGCAGUUAGAGCUGGUGCCUUCUUGCUGCCCAUCCUCCCCUCUUUCAUGUGUAUGCCCCCAGCUCAGCAGCAACAGGGUUAUCACACUUGGUUCCCUCUCCAGGCACCAGAGACAAAAGUUUCCUAUCAAAACCCCUUUACCUCAGCUUCACAAAAAACCCUCUCCAAACUGCUGCACCCCCAGUGAGGUAAAUGGAGACACAGGUUUCCACAGCUGGUCCCUGUGUUCCUGGAGAUAAGGUGAAUAUUCCCUGACAUCAAGUGCCUGCAAGGGUGCUGCAGCGAGCACUGACUGGAGAGUUGCAAUAUGCCAUUGCCAGUAUGAUGGACUAUGAAUGCUUCCUGUCAUCUGAAAAAAGAAAGGACAUCAUCUGGCCCAGUCAAGCAGAGGAUGAAACAGCUGGUGGAACUGGAGCUGCCUGGGAGCAGGGAACAGCGAGGGUCACCUGAGCCCGGCCCUGUUUAACACCACGCGCCCUGCAGAAGCUGCAGCCACUUCGUAAAGGUCAAAACUGUGUUAUAACGGGACAUGAACUCUGACAUCAUUUCAGAGUGACUGAUCGAUAUGCCUGGCAUGGGAAAGCAGCCAGUCAUCAGGCAGAGCCCCACUGUCGCAGCCAGGCUUGGCAGCACCGCGUGGCUUGCAAGGGAGUUUAUAAUACAGUGUUGCUAAUGUAUCUAUGCUUUAAUUGCUGUUUAGUAAUGAGGUGUUUGGGAGGAGUUGCCCAGGCAGGAGAGAUUAGUGAGGGCCACCAGAAGAAGAGAUACUAAUCAAUGAGGUGAUUGACUUUCUCUGGUCAGAUGUGUUAGCUAACUCCAGGAAAUUAUAUUUUCUUCAUACUCCUCCUACGAAUCUGCAAGAGCUUGGCCUGAUUUCACUGACACCCAGCACUUCAAAGCUGGCCACAUCCAAUCUCAGGAAGCAUACCUGUGUCUGACACAGACCAUAACCCUGUGACCAACAGCUACCUCUGCUCAACAGCAUUUUUCAGGUGAGCAUGCAUACGCAGCAAUUAAGUACUUGCACUGAGAUGUGCAGUAUUGUAACUUACUUUAAUGAGUAAAUCGGUUGUGCCAUCUCAGACACAAUAGACAGAACUUUAGUACUCUUUCCACAGGGCUGCAGUGGUAAUUUCUUUGCCAUGAUAUGCAGCAGAGGCUGUAGGACAGUCACACAUGCUACAGAAACCCUGAGGUCAUGGGGAAACUUUUCAAAUUAAGGAAGGCUCCUGGACAUGAGAUACCUAUGUUUUGCUACAUACACAGUGCUCCGGGGUAGUUUUCAGCUUGUCUUUUCAGCCCACUUUUUUAACCUUUGCAGGGAAAAAUAAUAGAAGUUGUAGGAUGCAAGCUACUUGUCUUUUCUUGAUGGGGUAAAAACAUGUGAGGGACUUUUCAUCUGUAAAAUCCCUGCAAGGAAAAUUAGCAGUUAUGAUGCAGAUCUGUGGGUUUGGAAACUUGGGAUGUAUCCCUGAGAAGCUGACUGGCUGCCUACGUGAUCCUGAAGAAGUCAAUGGACUGGCAAUGAGCUGACCUUUGGUUUGAGCCAAGCCUGAAUGCCUGUAUUUUGAGGGAGGAGGGCUGUUUUGUUUUUUUAUUAUUGUGGCCAUGUUUCUAUGUUUCUGAUUUCCCACUGAGAAGGCACAUGGCCAGAGCAGCCUGCCUGUCCCUGCCUUUCCUGCAGCCUGGUGAACUGGAGGCAACUCUCAUGGCUCUCCUCUGCCCCCUCUCCUUGCGCAUACCUGCAGGGAAGCAAGAUCAUGCCAAAUUGCCGUGUGAGGGGCAUUGCUCAGUGAGUGAGGCUGGCCACAGAGGAGCCAGAGAUGUGACCGAGGUGUUUCUUUCCCCUAACUCUGGCACUUGCAGGCCUCUUUCUGUCCCUCUGAGCCUCAGGGAUGCUUGGCAGAUGGGUGAGGGUGUGGCACUCUGGACAUGUCAGGCUGAGAGUACCUGGUGAGCCGGGCGUGCAUUCCUGCCCAAUAAAUCAGUUAUGGUGAUACAUAUGCCUCCAACAGCUACUGAAACACUUUGGCUUCUGAAUUCCUGGCUCAGUUCACCUCUAUUAUGUCUCCUAUGGAUCAUGGUACCUAAGGGGUUGUUUUUAACUUGUUUAUUUACAAGCUUAAAUAAAUUUAAAACCCUAAAAAAGUGUUCCUGUUACACCAGAGCAAAUUCUUCCUUCUUGAGAAACCGUGCUCUACUCCACCAAUUAGAUUUCUUUUUCUGCUGCUUUGGAAGAAGGUGGUUUAAUGUUCAGCUGCUAGUCCUAUCAAUAAUCUACGAGCUUCUGUACUCGGGCCUAUUCUUGCUUUUACCUGGGGAAUAUUGCUGGUAGUACUGCCUUCUCUGUUUUGCGUAACAGUCCUAGUACUAUAAAUGAAUAGUAGAGAUGCUAUUGCUAUAGUCCUCUUGCAUCAUUAUUUUUUUUUAAUAAAGGCAGGAGCCAUGAAAUAGUUAUGAAAUUUAA
Long non-coding RNA from Melopsittacus undulatus (budgerigar), 2798 nucleotides. RefSeq lists it as uncharacterized. The transcript is spliced from 2 exons. Lineage: Eukaryota; Metazoa; Chordata; Aves; Psittaciformes; Psittaculidae. The record is from RefSeq and is a predicted model, not a curated record.